UCGUGCUAGGCGGGGAGCUAGCGGUGCCCUGUACUCGCAAUCCGCUAUAGCGAGGCUGAAUUCCUACUUGAGGCUUUUGUCUGGUGGGACUGCUUGGGCUAAGUGGUGUUGAAGACCGGGUCCUGCGCGGCGGAACUCUAUGAAUCCCGUCAGGUCUGAGAGGAAGCAGCGGUAAAUAGUAGUUUCUGGGUGACGCAGGGUUACCUGGUUGGAGCUGGCUGGUUCAAGUAAGCUGCGAGGCGGGGUCGAGAGUAGGUGCACGG
This 263-nucleotide signal recognition particle RNA is filed under the name Dehalococcoidia bacterium. RNAcentral describes it as "signal recognition particle sRNA large type". It matches the Rfam family "Bacterial large signal recognition particle RNA". From Rfam's summary of the family: The signal recognition particle (SRP) is a universally conserved ribonucleoprotein involved in the co-translational targeting of proteins to membranes. Archaeal SRP consists of a 7S RNA and homologues of the eukaryotic SRP19 and SRP54 proteins. Lineage: Bacteria; Bacillati; Chloroflexota; Dehalococcoidia. The record is from RNAcentral.